GCAUAUCAAUAAGCGGAGGAAAAGAAACUAACAAGGAUUCCCUUAGUAACGGCGAGUGGAGCGGGAAGAGCUCAAAUUUGAAAUCUUCAAGGUUCUACCUUGACGAAUUGUAGUUUAAAGAAGUGUUUUCUGUUAGAUGAGUAGCAAAAGUUCCUUGGAAUGGGACAUCAUAGAGGGUGAGAAUCCCGUAUUUGGUUAUUCAUUCUAGCUUUGUGAUACACUUUCAAAGAGUCGGAUUGUUUGGGAAUGCAGUCCAAAAUGGGUGGUAAAUUUCAUCUAAAGCUAAAUAUUGGCGAGAGACCGAUAGCGAACAAGUACCGUGAGGGAAAGAUGAAAAGAACUUUGAAAAGAGAGUUAAACAGUACGUGAAAUUGUCAAAAGGGAAGCGUUUGACACCAGUGUUGUUUUUCCGAAAAUCAAUUACGAAUGGCUUGAUUUUGUGUUGUAUUGACCUUAUCAGCUUUCUUCACUUUUUUCGAGUCUUUCUUAAUGCACUUUUCGGUUAACAAGUCAACAUCAAUUUCUUUUGUUGUAAAAGGGUAUUCGGAAGGUGGCUUUCUUUUCGGAGAAAGUGUUUAUAGCCCUAUACUUCUACAAUCGGAGAGAUUGAGGUCUGCAGCGUAGAUCCUUCGGGGUUAGAUACACUUGUGCUAAGUUGUAGCUUUUCAUAGACAACUUGUUGACUAUGUUUAGUCAUGCGGCUUACUCGCUUGUGCUAUUUUACCUACGCUUAGGAUGUUGACAAAAUGGUUUUAAACGACCCGUCUUGAAACACGGACC
RNAcentral lists this ribosomal RNA (780 nucleotides) under Neocallimastix frontalis. Its description in RNAcentral is "partial large subunit ribosomal RNA". It matches the Rfam family "Eukaryotic large subunit ribosomal RNA", at positions 38 to 667 of the family's 3401-position model. Lineage: Eukaryota; Fungi; Neocallimastigomycota; Neocallimastigomycetes; Neocallimastigales; Neocallimastigaceae. The record is from RNAcentral.